Molecule: ribosomal RNA, 1416 nt
Filed under: uncultured bacterium
Lineage: Bacteria
Description: bacterial SSU rRNA
Rfam family: Bacterial small subunit ribosomal RNA
Source: RNAcentral
GGCAUGAUUACCGGCGGUUCGCCUUAAGUUGAUCCUGGCUCACGAUGAACGCUGGCGGCGUGCUUAACACAUGCAAGUCGAACGAAGCACUUAAAUGGAUUUCCUUCGGGGAUGAAGCUUUUGUGACUGAGUGGCGGACGGGUGAGUAACGCGUGGGUAACCUGCCUCAUACAGGGGGAUAACAGUUGGAAACGACUGCUAAUACCGCAUAAGCGCACAACUUCGCAUGAAGUGGUGUGAAAAACUCCGGUGGUAUGAGAUGGACCCGCGUUGGAUUAGCUAGUUGGCGGGGCAACGGCCCACCAAGGCGACGAUCCAUAGCCGACCUGAGAGGGUGACCGGCCCCAUUGGGACUGAGACACGGCCCAAACUCCUACGGGAGGCAGCAGUGGGGAAUAUUGCACAAUGGGCGAAAGCCUGAUGCAGCGACGCCGCGUGAACGAAGAAGUAUUUCGGUAUGUAAAGUUCUAUCAGCAGGGAAGAAGAAUGACGGUACCUGACUAAGAAGCACCGGCUAAAUACGUGCCAGCAGCCGCGGUAAUACGUAUGGUGCAAGCGUUAUCCGGAUUUACUGGGUGUAAAGGGAGCGCAGGCGGCGCGGCAAGUCUGAUGUGAAAGCCCGGGGCUCAACCCCGGUACUGCAUUGGAAACUGUCGUGCUAGAGUGUCGGAGGGGUAAGCGGAAUUCCUAGUGUAGCGGUGAAAUGCGUAGAUAUUAGGAGGAACACCAGUGGCGAAGGCGGCUUACUGGACGAUAACUGACGCUGAGGCUCGAAAGCGUGGGGAGCAAACAGGAUUAGAUACUCUGGUAGUCCACGCCGUAAACGAUGAAUACUAGGUGUUGGGGAACAUGGUUCUUCGGUGCCGUCGCAAACGCAGUAAGUAUUCCACCUGGGGAGUACGUUCGCAAGAAUGAAACUCAAAGGAAUUGACGGGGACCCGCACAAGCGGUGGAGCAUGUGGUUUAAUUCGAAGCAACGCGAAGAACCUUACCAAGUCUUGACAUCCCGAUGACCGUUCUUUAACAGGAACUUUUCUUCGGAACAUCGGUGACAGGUGGUGCAUGGUUGUCGUCAGCUCGUGUCGUGAGAUGUUGGGUUAAGUCCCGCAACGAGCGCAACCCUUAUCUUUAGUAGCCAGCAUUUCGGAUGGGCACUCUAGAGAGACUGCCAGGGAUAACCUGGAGGAAGGCGGGGAUGACGUCAAAUCAUCAUGCCCCUUAUGACUUGGGCUACACACGUGCUACAAUGGCGUAAACAAAGGGAGGCAGAGCCGUGAGGCCGAGCAAAUCUCAAAAAUAACGUCUCAGUUCGGAUUGUAGUCUGCAACUCGACUACAUGAAGCUGGAAUCGCUAGUAAUCGCAAAUCAGAAUGUUGCGGUGAAUACGUUCACCGGGUAUUGUACACACCGCCCGUC